AAUAUAUUUUGAAAUAUUGAAAAAGGAAAUAAUUAUUUCGGGUUCAAAUUUUCGGGUUCGGGUUCGGGUUCGGGUUUUGGAUUUUUUGUCGGGUUCGGGUUUGGAUAUGGAUUUUUAAAAUCCGUCUUGUUCAGGUUUGGGUUCGGGUCUCGGGUUUGGAGUCGGGCUCGGGUUGGGGUUUUAAAAAUCCGUCCCGAAUCCGACCCGUUGACAUCUCUAAUUAGGUGCAAGUAAAAAUUUCUCCCCUUUUUUAUGGAAUUAUAAAUGCAC
This 270-nucleotide long non-coding RNA is filed under the name Ananas comosus (pineapple). Its description in RNAcentral is "long non-coding RNA (ACOM_LNC039087)". The record is from RNAcentral. Lineage: Eukaryota; Viridiplantae; Streptophyta; Magnoliopsida; Poales; Bromeliaceae.